Molecule: ribosomal RNA, 342 nt
Filed under: uncultured Desulfovibrio sp.
Lineage: Bacteria; Pseudomonadati; Thermodesulfobacteriota; Desulfovibrionia; Desulfovibrionales; Desulfovibrionaceae
Description: bacterial SSU rRNA
Rfam family: Bacterial small subunit ribosomal RNA
Source: RNAcentral
UGGUGCAUGGUUGUCGUCAGCUCGUGUCGUGAGAUGUUGGGUUAAGUCCCGCAACGAGCGCAACCCUUGUCUUUAGUUACCAUCAUUCAGUUGGGGACUCUAAAGAGACUGCCGGUGGACAACCGGAGGAAGGUGGGGAUGACGUCAAAUCAUCAUGCCCCUUAUGACCUGGGCUACACACGUACUACAAUGGCGCAUACAACGGGAAGCGAAGUGGUGACAUGGAGCAAAUCUCAAAAAGUGCGUCUCAGUUCAGAUUGAAGUCUGCAACUCGACUUCAUGAAGUCGGAAUCGCUAGUAAUCGCGGAUCAGAAUGCCGCGGUGAAUACGUUCUCGGGCCUU